Molecule: ribosomal RNA, 432 nt
Filed under: uncultured bacterium
Lineage: Bacteria
Description: partial 16S ribosomal RNA
Rfam family: Bacterial small subunit ribosomal RNA
Source: RNAcentral
ACGAACGCUGGCGGCAUGCCUAACCCAUGCACGUCGAACGAUCCCUUCGGAGAUAGUGGCGCACGGGUGCGUAACGCGUGGGAACCUGCCCUUAGGUUCGGAAUAACUCAGAGAAAUUUGAGCUAAUACCGGAUAAUGUCUUCGGACCAAAGAUUUAUCGCCUUUGGAUGGGCCCGCGUUGGAUUAGCUAGUUGGUGGGGUAAAGGCCUACCAAGGCGACGAUCCAUAGCUGGUCUGAGAGGAUGAUCAGCCACACUGGGACUGAGACACGGCCCAGACUCCUACGGGAGGCAGCAGUGGGGAAUAUUGGACAAUGGGCGAAAGCCUGAUCCAGCAAUGCCGCGUGAGUGAUGAAGGCCUUAGGGUUGUAAAGCUCUUUUACCCGGGAUGAUAAUGACAGUACCGGGAGAAUAAGCCCCGGCUAACUCCGUG